AAAGAUUUUUUAUCUUGCUAAUUUAUAUAAAUGAGAAAGAAUUAUGUUUGGAAAAUAAUUUAUUAAGGUGGGUUAAAAGUAAUUAUUAAUGAAUUAAAAUUAUAGUGGCUAUAGAGGAAAGUACUGUAAAGGAAGGGUUUAAUAAAUAAAAGAGAAAGUAGAAAUUUAGUUUUGUACCUUGUGUAUCAGGGGUAAUCUAUAUAAUAUUAAAUAUUAUUAAGGGUCUCGAAAUAAAAAUAGCUAAUUUUAUAAAGGAGUUUUUGUAGCAUAAAAAUUUUUAAUGUAAAAUUAGAAAUGAAAUGUUAAUCGAGUUUUAUGAUAUCUAGUUCUUUAAGAAAUAAAUAUAAUUUAGUUUUUAUAAAUAAUAAAAUAUAAAAGGAAAAGAUAGAAGGGAAAAGCUUUUUAUUUAAAAAAUAGCUGAAUAAAACAUAUGGGUUUAUCUAAGCUUAGAAGUAGCUAUGUUAAUAAAGUGUUUUAAUUAAAGAUUAAUGUAAUAUUAUUUUUAUAAGGCUUUAAUAAAAGGGAGUAUUAAGGAUUUGUUAAGAAUUAAUUAUAAUAAGGUAAAAUGAUUUUAUUAGUAGAAUUUAUUAUGUUAAGGAAAAGAAUUAACUAAUAGGGGGUUUGUAAAGAUGGAAUGGUAGUAUAAAGGAAUUCGGCAAAAAAAUUCUUUGCCUGUUUAUCAAAAACAUGUCUGUUUGGAGUUAUAAGGAGUCUAACCUGCCCACUGAUUAAGAAAUUAAAGGGCCGCAGUAUUAUAACUGUGCAAAGGUAGCAUAAUCAUUAGGUUCUUAAUUAGAAUCUUGAAUGAAUGGUUGGACAAAGGGAAUACUGUCUUUAUAUUAAUUUUGAAUUUAACUUUUGAGUGAAAAGGCUUAAAUAUUCUAAAGGGACGAUAAGACCCUAUAAAACUUUAUAUUAAGAUUGAAUUUUAGUUAAAUUUAAUUAUAAAAAUUUAAUUUAAUUAUUUGUUAUGUUGGGGAGAUAUAGGUAAAAUUUUUGUUAACUGCUUAUUGAUUAGACAUUUACGGAUGGGUAGUAAUAGAUCCUUGUUAAAGAUUAUUGAAUUAAGUUACUUUAGGGAUAACAGCGUUAUUUUUUUUGAGAGUUCAUAUCGAAAAAAAAGGUUGCGACCUCGAUGUUGAAUUAAAAUAUCUAUAUAAUGAAGCGGUUGUAUAGGAAGGUCUGUUCGACCUUUAAAAUUUUACAUGAUUUGAGUUCAAACCGGCGUGAGCCAGGUUGGUUUCUAUCUUUUAGGUUAAAAGAGUUAUUUUAGUACGAAAGGAGUAAAUAAUUAAAAUAAUUUUA
Molecule: ribosomal RNA, 1305 nt
Filed under: Aparapotamon similium
Lineage: Eukaryota; Metazoa; Arthropoda; Malacostraca; Decapoda; Potamidae
Description: 16S ribosomal RNA
Rfam family: Bacterial large subunit ribosomal RNA (bases 1080-1238)
Source: RNAcentral